GAGUUUGAUCAUGGCUCAGGAUGAACGCUGGCGGUGUGGAUAAGGCAUGCAAGUCAAACGGUCCGACUUCGGUCGGAUAGUGGCGAACGGGUUAGUAACACGUGGGUAUCUACCUCUAAAUCUCGCAUAGCUCCACGAAAGCGGAGGUAAUUCGAGAUAGUCCCUACUGAAGUUUCUUUGAAAUCAAGCGGGGUAAAGGUUUUGAGCAAUCAAUGCCGUUUAGAGAUGAGCCCGCGGCCUAUCAGCUAGUUGGUAAGGUAAUGGCUUACCAAGGCUAUGACGGGUAGGGGGCGUGAGAGCGUGUUCCCCAACAAUGGCACUGAGACACGGGCCAUACUCCUACGGGAGGCAGCAGUCGAUAAUAUUGGUCAAUGGGGGAAACCCUGAACCAGCGACACCGCGUGCAGGAAGACGGCCUACGGGUUGUAAACUGCUUUUCUAGAGGGAGAAUCCUGCUUUUUGGCAGGAUGACAGUACUCUAGGAAUAAGGGGCUGCUAAUCACGUGCCAGCAGCAGCGGUAAUACGUGAGCCCCGAGCGUUAUCCGGAUUUACUGGGCGUAAAGGGUCCUAAGGCGGUUUAGAGAGUCCUUAGUUAAAGCCUUGAGGCUUAACCUUGAGGAUACUAAGGAUACUUCUAGACUUGAGGACGUCAGAGGCUAGUGGAACGUACGGUGUAGGGGUGGAAUCCGUUGAUAUCGUAUGGAACACCAAAAGCGAAGGCAGCUAGCUAGGGCGAAUCCUGACGCUAAUGGACGAAAGCGUGGGUAGCAAAAAGGAUUAGAUACCCUUGUAGUCCACGCCCUAAACGAUGGAUGCUAGCUGGUGGAAGUGUCGACCCUUUCACUGGCGAAGCUAACGCGUUAAGCAUCCCUCCUGGGGAGUACGGCGGCAACGCUAAAACUCAAAGGAAUAGACGGGGAGCUACACAAGCGGUGGACCACGUGGCUUAAUUCGACGACAAGCGAAGAACCUUACCAGGGCUUGACACGCUAAGUGAAAUACUGCCGAAAGGUGGUACUCCGCAAGGCACUUAGCACAGGUGCUGCAUGGUUGUCGUCAGCAGGUGCCGUGAGGUGCUCCCUUAAAUGGGGAAACCUGCGAAACCCUCGUCCUAUGUUUUAUCUGUCAUGGGAGACUGCCGUGGUUAACACGGAGGAAGGUGAGGAUGACGCCAAAUCAGCAUGGUCCUUAUGUCCUGGGCGGCACACGUGGUACAAUGGCCGGUACAAUGGGUUGCGAGACGGUAACGUGGAGCUAAUCCCAUCAAAGCCGGUCUCAGUUCGGAUCGAGGUCUGCAACUCGACCUCGUGAAGCUGGAAUCGCUAGUAAUCGCGGAUCAGCCAUGCCGCGAUGAAUAUGUCCCUGGCUCUUGCACACAC
Molecule: ribosomal RNA, 1380 nt
Filed under: uncultured bacterium
Lineage: Bacteria
Description: bacterial SSU rRNA
Rfam family: Bacterial small subunit ribosomal RNA
Source: RNAcentral